Molecule: ribosomal RNA, 649 nt
Filed under: uncultured bacterium
Lineage: Bacteria
Description: bacterial SSU rRNA
Rfam family: Bacterial small subunit ribosomal RNA
Source: RNAcentral
AGAGUUUGAUCAUGGCUCAGAUUGAACGCUGGCGGCAUGCCUUACACAUGCAAGUCGAACGGUAACAGGUCUUCGGAUGCUGACGAGUGGCGAACGGGUGAGUAAUACAUCGGAACGUGCCCGAUCGUGGGGGAUAACGGAGCGAAAGCUUUGCUAAUACCGCAUACGAUCUACGGAUGAAAGCGGGGGAUCUUCGGACCUCGCGCGGACGGAGCGGCCGAUGGCAGAUUAGGUAGUUGGUGGGAUAAAAGCUUACCAAGCCGACGAUCUGUAGCUGGUCUGAGAGGAUGAUCAGCCACACUGGGACUGAGACACGGCCCAGACUCCUACGGGAGGCAGCAGUGGGGAAUUUUGGACAAUGGGGGCAACCCUGAUCCAGCCAUGCCGCGUGCAGGAUGUAGGCCUUCGGGUUGUAAACUGCUUUUGUACGGAACGAAAAGACUCUGGUUAAUACCUGGGGUCCAUGACGGUACCGUAAGAAUAAGCACCGGCUAACUACGUGCCAGCAGCCGCGGUAAUACGUAGGGUGCAAGCGUUAAUCGGAAUUACUGGGCGUAAAGCGUGCGCAGGCGGUGAUGUAAGACAGAGGUGAAAUCCCCGGGCUCAACCUGGGAACUGCCUUUGUGACUGCAUCGCUGGAGUGCGGCAG